This is a non-coding RNA of Durio zibethinus, 932 nucleotides long. The record is from RefSeq and is a predicted model, not a curated record. Lineage: Eukaryota; Viridiplantae; Streptophyta; Magnoliopsida; Malvales; Malvaceae.
GCAAUCAAGUCAAAUUGCUCUCUCUUCGAUAUUACUUUGCUUCACGUCUCAUUCAUAUACUGCUUAUACACUGAAAUCUGAGUAGGGAUUGAAUAUCGGUGAUGUUGGGCGCUUUAAGGAGAAAAGUCGCGAGCGGAGGCUCAUCAUCUUUGGUAUUAGGGAAGUCAUUGCUGGCGAUUCGAUCGGGUGUUUCAGUAUCUAGAGUUUCUUGUAAUGCUGGAAAAGAGGCCUUGCAAUAUUAAAAUGUUGAUAUAAAGUAAAAGAAGUGCAAGAUCAUAUGAUACUAUUACUUCAACCGAGAGGAAUUGCCCAUGUCCGAAACUUCUCUCAUCUUGUUCUGCCAGGGAUGUCAUUUCUAGCAUGCAGUCAAAGGCUAUCAUGCAAAAGUUGUGCAGGGCUUUCUCUUCUAGAGAUGUUAUCAGUUGGGCCGCCCAAGAGGUACUACGUCAGGCAAUAUGUCAAAAGAAGAAAAUAGUUUUAGUUCAAAAUUUCUUUUAAAAUCUUUCUCUGGAAAAGUGUGAAUGCAAUAGUUUCAAAACUUUGGCUGCAAUUUAGUUGUAUAAUGAUUUGGUGUAAACUUUGGUGGUACUAGACUUGCACCUCCGCCAUUUUGGCAUUUUUAGUGCAUUUUUCACUUUCAAAAAGUACAUACUGAUUAGGAACAGGUCUGCUUGAAAAUAAAGAUGAAUUCCCUUUUAUGUUGUAAUUAUGUUAAAUUUAAAGAUUUUGACUUUCCUAUUUUACUUAACUUGUGAUGAAGGGGAUCUGGUUGAUGCUGUGGUCCCUUUUAUGGGAGAAUCAAUUACUGAUGGCACUUUGGCAACAUUCUUGAAAAGUAUGUUUUCCACUAUUGUAAUUUCCAUUCAUUCACUAGAAAUAUUCGUUUUCAGGGUUGUAAGUGUUUGAUUGUGUAUGUAUCUGAAAUUUGAGAG